CUACGGGGGGCACCAGGCGAGAAAACUUUGCAAUGUGCGAAAGCACGACAAGGUUAAUCCGAGUGGUUUGUGCUAAACGAACCUUUUGACAGUCCUAGAAACACUGUUGAAUAAGGGGUGGGCAAGUUCUGGUGUCAGCCGCCGCGGUAAAACCAGCACCUCAAGUGGUCAGGAUGAUUAUUGGGCCUAAAGCAUCCGUAGCCGGCUCUGUAAGUUUUCGGUUAAAUCUGUACGCUCAACGUACAGGCUGCCGGGAAUACUGCAGAGCCAGGGAGUGGGAGAGGUAGACGGUACUCGGUAGGAAGGGGUAAAAUCCUUUGAUCUAUUGAUGACCACCUGUGGCGAAGGCGGUCUACCAGAACACGUCCGACGGUGAGGGAUGAAAGCUGGGGGAGCAAACCGGAUUAGAUACCCCUGUAGUC
This 422-nucleotide ribosomal RNA is filed under the name uncultured archaeon. Its description in RNAcentral is "partial 16S ribosomal RNA". It matches the Rfam family "Archaeal small subunit ribosomal RNA", at positions 323 to 746 of the family's 1478-position model. The record is from RNAcentral.